RNAcentral lists this ribosomal RNA (506 nucleotides) under uncultured bacterium. RNAcentral describes it as "partial 16S ribosomal RNA". It matches the Rfam family "Bacterial small subunit ribosomal RNA", at positions 30 to 523 of the family's 1533-position model. The record is from RNAcentral.
AUUGAACGCUGGCGGCAGGCCUAACACAUGCAAGUCGAGCGGUAGCACAGGAGAGCUUGCUCUCUGGGUGACGAGCGGCGGACGGGUGAGUAAUGUCUGGGAAACUGCCUGAUGGAGGGGGAUAACUACUGGAAACGGUAGCUAAUACCGCAUAAUGUCGCAAGACCAAAGAGGGGGACCUUCGGGCCUCUUGCCAUCAGAUGUGCCCAGAUGGGAUUAGCUAGUAGGUGGGGUAACGGCUCACCUAGGCGACGAUCGCUAGCUGGUCUGAGAGGAUGACCAGCCACACUGGAACUGAGACACGGUCCAGACUCCUACGGGAGGCAGCAGUGGGGAAUAUUGCACAAUGGGCGCAAGCCUGAUGCAGCCAUGCCGCGUGUAUGAAGAAGGCCUUCGGGUUGUAAAGUACUUUCAGCGAGGAGGAAGGCAUUGUGGUUAAUAACCACAGUGAUUGACGUUACUCGCAGAAGAAGCACCGGCUAACUCCGUGCCAGCAGCCGCCGUAA